Molecule: long non-coding RNA, 1731 nt
Organism: Numida meleagris (helmeted guineafowl)
Lineage: Eukaryota; Metazoa; Chordata; Aves; Galliformes; Numididae
Exons: 4
Source: RefSeq, a predicted model, not a curated record
UGUCUUGUGUGGGGUUUUUUUUUUUUGUCUGGAGAGGUCUUGGGGGAUUUGCUUCAGCUGUUGCUGUUUGCAAGAUGGGCUGGAGUUCUAGGAAUACCACCAGCAAAUGCUGUAUCUCAGGACAUGAAUAUGUUAAAAUAGAUGGAGUAAAGUACUGUGUUGUAUGGGGUCGGUAAAGACUGGGCCUUGGGGACUGCAACUACACCUUGUCAGGGAAGGCACGUCAAAGCGGAUUCCUGCAAGAAAGCAGAACUCCAGUGCAGUGGCUUACCAUAAGAUGGCUCUUCCUUUUUGUAAGGAGAAGUUCAGAAGCAAGCCCAAGCCACAGGUUUCAGAUCAGGAUCCAGACUUCUUGAAAAUACCCUGAAGUUGGGAAGUGCUUGCCCUGGAAUGACCGUUGACUUUUGUUUCCUUAACUCUUCUUGGCUGCUACAAAUCCGGACUCCUGACCUCUCAUGCCCUCUCAACCAGCAGCUUUCCAAGCAUUGUCCUUCAGGGGUUAAACAAAGGAGCCCGAAGAGAAAUAGCCACUGAUUAACUUUGACAGCUGAAAUCCUUGAAAUUGCUAUUGAACUUGGAACCUUGUGUGCUAUUGUUCUUUGCUCCUCUGCUGGAGUUUUGCGUGAUGGUGGUUUGGAUGGAAACAUUUUUGGGCAGGUCCUUGGAAAAACAAUGGGAAAAAGCCCUUUUAAACAACCCCAUGGAAGCCAGCAAUGGCAACACUGAUGAGAAUUUACAGAUAUAAUGUCAUCCAUCUGGAAUCGAGGGGGAGACUUCCUCCCAGAUUGGUGGCAAACCUCCACCUGUCCCCUAGGGCUCAGGGAAGGAGGGACCAAACUCCUUCCAGCCAUGAGAACAAACUGGUGGUGCAGUACACCUAUGCAGGUGACAGCUGAGGGUUGAAAAUAUAACUGGAGUGAAACCGGUUGCUGUUGUCCUCGGCCUACCAGCCAGCUGCCACUUAUAAUCUUGAAAGUGUGACUUAUGGCAAGGUGUUCUACUGAGAUACUUCUCCAGUGCUAUUUCUAGUACACCUAAUGAGCACAGCGUCUGCAGAAAGGUUGCCGAACUCGGUCUGAAUGUAGAAAUCUGCUUCUGGUUGGCAAUCUGCAGCUGCUCUGAGGAUGGCACAGGGAGAAUGAAAAGGAAAGAUGACAAAACUGUACCAUCUCUGGCUGUCAGCCACUGGCAAGCAAUGUUGGCUUUGAUGUUGUAUUUAUAUUUGCUAAGUGUGUAUGAUAGAGCAGCUUUAUAAAACUCCUGUGCCAUAUUAUUUCAGCUGAUGAAGGUUGCCACACUCUGGAGAAGCUAUACCCAUAGCAGCACCCCACUGCCCAGCAUAGGUGUGUGCCUGGGUAUGAGACAGACAGACAGACACGACUUCCCCAGUGUUAGGUCUCAUGUUGCUUGCUGCAGUGGCUAACACAGAUUUGGUGAGAGUUGGAGUUUCAGCUGGCGCUGGAUGAACUGUGUAAUAAAAUAAUAAUAAACAUAAUACAAGAAUAUGAAUCCUGUAAAUCACUACUUUUUUUUUUAGGUUCAUUUAGCUCUGUGUUUCUGGCCAGCUUUUAUGCUAUAACGGUAUGGCUCACUCUUCAGCUCCCAGAGGUUCCACUAAAACUGUUGUUUCAUUUUUGAUUUACGAUCACCUUAGUGAGACAGUUCCUGUGCUAUUUCUAUUCAGAUGAGGAGUUCAUGGAAGUUGUUAUCAGAGCGUAUUACAACACUCAG